UGGGGAAUAUUGCACAAUGGGGGAAACCCUGAUGCAGCGACGCCGCGUGAGCGAUGAACGCUUUCGAGUCUUAAAGCUUUGUCCUAUGGGAUGAUAAUGACGGUACCAUAGAAGAAAGCCCCGGCUAAUUACGUGCCAGCAGCCGCGGUAAUACGUAAGGGGCGAGCGUUGUCCGGAACUAUUGGGCGUAAAGAGUGCGUAGGCGGCAAAUUAAGUCAGAUGUGAAAACUAAGGGCUCAACCCAUAGAUUGCAUCUGAAACUGAUAUGCUUGGGUCAAGGAGAGGAAAGUGGAAUUCCUAGUGUAGCGGUGGAAUGCAUAGAUAUUAGGAGGAAUACCGGUGGCGAAGGCGACUUUCUGGACUUGAACUGACGCUGAGGCACGAAAGCGUGGGGAGCAAACAGG
RNAcentral lists this ribosomal RNA (404 nucleotides) under Verrucomicrobiota bacterium. RNAcentral's name for it is "Verrucomicrobia bacterium partial 16S ribosomal RNA". It matches the Rfam family "Bacterial small subunit ribosomal RNA", at positions 355 to 776 of the family's 1533-position model. The record is from RNAcentral. Lineage: Bacteria; Pseudomonadati; Verrucomicrobiota.